GACCAGGUGGUGAAAUGGCAGACACGCGACGCUCAGAACGUCGUGCCUUAAAGGCGUGGGAGUUCGACUCUCCCCUUGGUCA
RNAcentral lists this transfer RNA (82 nucleotides) under Pirellulales bacterium. RNAcentral describes it as "tRNA-Leu". It matches the Rfam family "tRNA". From Rfam's summary of the family: Transfer RNA (tRNA) molecules are approximately 80 nucleotides in length. Their secondary structure includes four short double-helical elements and three loops (D, anti-codon, and T loops). The record is from RNAcentral. Lineage: Bacteria; Pseudomonadati; Planctomycetota; Planctomycetia; Pirellulales.